Mugil cephalus (flathead mullet) is the source of this 510-nucleotide long non-coding RNA. RefSeq lists it as uncharacterized. The record is from RefSeq and is a predicted model, not a curated record. NCBI's taxonomy places the organism in Eukaryota, Metazoa, Chordata, Actinopteri, Mugiliformes, Mugilidae. The transcript is spliced from 4 exons.
UGUUCGUCAGGCUGCCUCCAUCAAGCUAAAUGGUGAAGAAGUGUGGUUCCCCUAAUAGUUCGGCUGGAGGAGUCGUGUUCUUCUCAACAGGAGCCUUAACUGGACCAAACAGUGUGGAAGGACCCAGAAAAUAAACAAGCUACAUGCGUCUGCUCCAAGGAACUGGAAUCUCCCAUCAAAAGUCAGCAAUUAUGAAAUAAGAAGAAGAUGGUGGAAAGAAGAAAAUAAUUUCUGCAGAAGAAAAACAUCAGCCCUGCUCUGCAUUGUUUCUCCAUAAUAGACAGACAACAGAGCUCCUUCUCCAAGAGACUCGGACAAACAACGCUACAGGAAAUCUUUCCUGCCACAAGCCAUUCGUAGGCCACUUUGUUUCCUUCUUACCAUUUGUCGCCUGGUGGUCCACACCUACGCUGACGUCCACGUCCACUUUCUGAGCGCAUCGCCCGAAGCCCUGGAUGAGCUGCUGCAAAGGUAGUUCAGCGUCCACGCUGGGGUAACAUCUCAGGCCGC